Molecule: RNA transcript, 8745 nt
Organism: Epinephelus moara (kelp grouper)
Lineage: Eukaryota; Metazoa; Chordata; Actinopteri; Perciformes; Serranidae
Gene: nacc1b
Gene name: nucleus accumbens associated 1, BEN and BTB (POZ) domain containing b
Exons: 9
Source: RefSeq, a predicted model, not a curated record
UGAAUUGUGUGCGGCUGCUGGUUCACAGCUUACAGUCACAAUGAAUGGCUGCCUGUAGCGAGGCGGAGGGAGACACUAGACCGCUUAUUCUGCGCUGGCCCUCCAUUGAAACACUUUCCAGCGGAAUACAGCCGAGGGGACCCUGUGGUGCUGGGCAGAGCGUUAUGGCUCAGACGCUGCAGAUGGCGAUCCCUAACUUUGGCAACAACAUCCUGGAGUGUCUGAACGAACAGCGGCUGCAGGGCCUCUACUGUGAUGUCUCCGUGGUCGUCAAGGGACAUGCCUUCAAGGCCCACCGUGCGGUGCUGGCAGCCAGCAGCUCCUACUUCCGGGAUCUGUUCAAUGCCGGAGGGAAGAGCUCGGUGGUGGAGCUGCCCCCGGCCGUGCAGCCGCAGAGCUUCCAGCAGAUCCUGGCCUUCUGCUACACAGGACGCCUCAGCAUGAACGUUGGAGACCAGUUCCUCCUCAUGUACACCGCUGGCUUCCUCCAGAUCCAACAGAUCAUGGAGAAAGGCACAGAGUUUUUCCUCAAGGUCUCAUCUCCAAGCUGUGACUCCCAGGGUCUCCAUACUGAGGAGACCCCGCCCUCCGAGCCUCAGAGCCCCGUCACUCAAACAAUGGGAGGUGGGGGAGUCGGCGUCGUUGCCCCAGCCGCGGGGAGGCCCGCCUCUUGCCUGACGCCCCUCCCACUGGUGUCCAAGGUGAAGACAGAACAGACGGCCUCCACACCUCAGCCCACCCCACAGCCGCAGCAGCAGGAGGGCUCUCCCUACUCGGUGGUCUGCACCCCCGUGGCCAAGCGGCUGUGGGAAGGGGGCAACCGUGACAGCGGAGGUGGUUCCGGAGGGGGUGGGGGCGGUGGGAUGAGGAAGGCUGCACGCUACUCUUCCUCCUCCUCUUCGUCCUCUUCCUCCAACAACGCCACCCAGGAUGCCUCUGGGCGUGGACCUGCAGCCAAUGCUGCCAUGGUGGGCAGCGGCAGCGGUGCCAGCGUUCCCACUUCAAUGGGAGGAGCUGGACUCAACAGUAACCACAACAACAACAACAACAACGGCGGCACCCCCGAAGGCACCAGCCCGGGCACACUGAGCAUGUACACCAGCGACUCCCCAAUCAGUUACCACGACGACGAGGAAGAGGACGACGUGGCGGACGAGAGCGCCGAAGAGCAGUACAGACAGAUCUGCAACAUGUACACCAUGUACAGCAUGCUGAACGCUGGAGCGGCAGUGGUCGGGGAGCGGGUGGAGGCUCUUCCUGACUUGGCUCCAGACUCAGGCGGCGGGCGAGGCGGCAGGGGGGCGCGGUCCAGGCAGGACUUGGCGUCACUGCCCGCCGAGCUCAUCAGCCAGAUCGGGAACCGCUGCCACCCGAAGAUGUACGAGGAGGGCGACCCGGCCGAGAAGCUGGAGCUGGUGAGCGGCACCUCCGUGUACAUCUCCCGCGCCCAGCUCAUGAACUGCCACGUCAGUGCCGGCACCCGCCACAAAGUGCUGCUCAGACGCCUGCUGGCCGCGUUUUUCGACAGGAGCACUCUGGCUAACAGCUGUGGAACUGGCAUCCGCUCUUCAACCAACGACCCCAGUCGUAAACCCCUGGACAACAGAGUGCUGCAUGCUGUCAAAUUUUACUGCCAGAACUUUGCGCCGAGCUUCAAGGAGAGUGAGAUGAACGCCAUCGCAGCCGACAUGUGCACCAACGCGCGCCGCGUCGUCCGCAAGAGCUGGAUCCCCAAGCUCAAACUGCUGAUGGCCGACAGCGACGCCUACUCCGCCUUCCUGGCCGACAGCGUGAAGAUGGAGGCCGACGCGCUGGGGGCGGAGCAAGGCUUCGACCCCGCCUCCCUGGAAGCGGUGGCGGCGGCAGCAGCCGCGGCCGCCAACCACAAUGAAGCGGGAGGUGGAGCCACGCAACCAGACGCCCUCCAGGGGGCGGGAGGAGACGGCAGCACUUUGUUUUGAGUGAGUGAACGGACAGAUAGAUGAGUGGACAGAUGGACAGAUUUGAUGGAGGGAGGGAUGGCAUUUCUCUGGGGGCGAUGAGUAGAGAACGGUGGCCGCUUUGGUCGUGAUGACAGUUGUCACUCCUCCCCUCGCCGCCGUGUGUUUGGGGGGUCUGUUUCUUCUUUUACACCUCUUCUGGUCAGUUUGUUCUGCUUUCCCUCCUUCGUUUGUCCACGUUUCUGUCUCUCUCGACGGCCCAGAAUGCCUCACUUUGGGUUGUUCCUCCUUCCUUUUCUGGUGGAGAGAGAUGGAAAGAUGGAGAGAAAGGUAGCAGAGGGAGGAGGUCAUACCCCCCCACACACACCUCCUCACUCCUCUGCAACCUUUCAGAAACUGAUUGUUUCAGCCUUUAUUUUUUAUGUUUUCUAAAGUGUGUACUGUCACUAAGGCCCGUUUCUUACCAUAAUCAAUCACAGACAUUCCCUGGGGGGUGGGGGGUGGGGGGGUAAUCCUGUUUGGAGAACGUGAUAUUUCCUUCCCCAAACUCCGGUAACACUGUUGUUUUUGAUAUUGAAUGUAUGCGUGGUGAAGCAUCCGAACCGCAGCGUUGUAAGUCAGUGGAGGUCGAGUGAGUUUGUACAGAGCCCUUUUUUUUUUUUUUUUUUUUUUUUUUUAUUUGUCUGUUUUUGCUUUAUUUCAUCUGGACGCCAGAUGAAAGCUUCUCGGAGAGCGUGGGAUUGAUGAGGUCAGGGGUUGAAAUGAAUAUUAAUAUGUAUAUUGGCAUGGUUUAUGAUCUCCCCGACCUCCGCCCGACCCCACAAACCCUGCUCUUCAACCCCAGCCGAGCAUGCUGGGAAACUGACCUGCCAGCCUUUUAGAGAGCUGCUGGGGAGUUCUGACUGACAGUGUGGCGGGAGACGGGAAAAAACUAAUAUUUGAUUGACUAAAAACUUUUUCGCCUGAACUUCCCCUUGUUUUUUGACCCGUAGACUACAUCCACAAUAAUAUGCUUUUGUGUUAAAACACAUGACUGUUGCUACGUUUACACCUGGCGUCCACACUACUCUUUGGCUUCCCUAAAACGGAGAGCUUUGAAAACACUGCUGACCCCGUUAACGUUUGAAAACCCCGGGGUUGGGUUGUAGUCUUGACAUGAGGAAACUGAGAUAAGAUUGGGUCUUAUCGGUCACAAGGUGUCAAUCCAAAAAUUUAUAGCUAAUUCUACAUACUUUUGUGAUUUCAUCCUUCAUGUGUGGGUAACGUUGCUCUUUUGCCGUUGUCAGGCAUCCUCCAGCGAUGGAUAAUGCUCCUGGUACCGCCAUAUUUGCUUCACAGCACUUCCCAAUCUGUUUUCUACCGCCUUGACAGCCUUAUACUCACGUUAUUUUCAGUAACAGUUCCACCUGGUUGUCGAUCCAAGCAAAGAAAUGGCUCGACAACCAGGUUGCCAUCUCCAUAUUAUUUACUGUAACUAAGCAACCAGCUGUACACAAUCUGCUUCCUGUUUACAUUGGCACACACUUGCCAAGUGUACGUAAAUAGUCCUGUGAUUCGCGUUUCCAGGCGUGAUAGUAUGAGGGGAGAUUAUUUCUAAAAUGGUGCUAAAACCCUUGUGAGUACAGAGAUCUUUUUCAUUUUAAAAAGCUGUUUUAAAUUAAAAACGUAUUAGUGUGGAUGUGGCCUUAUGAAAAGACAAUUUUAGUUUUCUUAUUUUUGUGUUUAAAUUCUUAAUUUUUCCUUUUAUGUGUGUGAUUUUUGCCGAGCCUCCCGAGGGAGAGGAAACUUGUUACCGAUGAUUGUCAAAGAGUUUGCGCGUGAUAAAUGCACUGUGUUAUUUCCUGCGGUAUGAUUACAAUCGAACUACGUUUUUGUACGUAUCAGAGAGAGACGAGAGGCAGUUUUAUUUAAAAAAGCAACAAAAAAAGAGAAAAAAUAGAAGCUAAAAUCCAAUUUAUAUCUCUGGUUAUCACCCUUUUUUUUUUUUUUUUAGAAAAAAACGUCUGAAGGAAAGUCAAGAAAUAUCCAAAAGCGAGUUUCUGCCCGUGAGCUUAGGAACGUGUCGUGUGUGUGUGUGUGUUUGUGGAGUGUGUGUGAGGAUUCAGCAGCAAUGUUCUUUUGUUUUCAGCUCGUGUUUAAAUUGUUUUCCCUCCAAAUAUUCGCAGCCAUGCCAGUUAACAGAACAAGUUUCCUCGGGCUCUGCUGCCUGGAUGCGUGCUCGCCUGGCAUGGACAAAGGUGCUAAUUCAGGCAUUGGUACAUUGCAAGGAAUACAGCUCCGUGUGUGUAAUGUGUAGGUGUGUGUUUGAGCGGCCACGCUGUUUUGUGUGUGUGUGCUGCAGCAGAGAGAGAGAGAGAGAGGCCAGACGGUGUGUUUUCACACACGCUUGGUCGAUUCAUUCACCCAUCACUGCGGUGAGCACACACACUCACACACACGCAGGCUAAUACGCAUUUGGGCGCUGUCAGCCGCAUCAGCUACAGUACACCAGAGCAGCAUGGGAAUUAAAGGAGAAUUACACUGAAGCAGAGCUGAGAGGCUGUUUGUUGUUUGUCACAUGUGAGCAUUCACCUUAAAUUUAUUUUAAUGAGGCCGCAUCAUGGGAAAGGUAAACUGUCGCUGCGCUGGCGGAAAGUUUUGUUGUCGCUUUGACAGUUAAUUUCUCAGCUUUAUGUCAUGUGCGAUACUCUGCAUUAUAAACAGAAAGCUGCUAAAUAAUGGAAAUCACAGAAGAAUGUCGGCAUAGAAACAACCCUGAAAGCGAAUAUUGCAGUCAUAUGCGCCUUUGAUACUUAAGUGGCUGAAUGGUAGCUUUCAGAAACUAUAACAAGAAUACAGAGCGAGAUCUUUUCGCUUUAGAAAAAUUGACCUCCAAAUUCCACAAUGCAGCUGAAUACAGUCAUCAGCUAAACCCUGAAGAGGGCUUUUUGCUCUUGUUCAGUCUGAAGUUGAAUACAGGGGCUCCAGGUGAAGUUUUUUAUUUAGUGCCACUAAUAUUUUGCUCCUCGGCACCAUUGUGGUGUUUUAAAUGGAUAGUCAGAACCUUGUUACACCAGAUUACAGUCUCAGUUUUGACCCCAGUUUCAAGCUUUUAAUCAUAAAAUCUCUCUCAGACAAUCAAUGUAAAGGCGCUCUUUCUUCUGGCAGACCUGACAUAUCUGUCUGUUUGGCACUGUGCAAUAAAAGCAGCAGUGUGAAUAGUAGGGAAGCAAAGCUAACCAGCUGUAAGUGCAUGUACUGUGUUGUGUGUGUUGAGCAGAUUACUGUGUGCUAGAGGUGCACGGAAAUCACAGCUCAGUUCACACGCCUGUUUAGGAGUCACGGUUCGGUGCGAGUUCAGUACAGUGGAAAGAAACAAAUGUGUAAAGAUCCAUUUCUCUUCAUUUAUGUUAAUCAGACAGUAUUGGACGUGUCAGAAAGACAAACUCCUCUUGCUGGGGACCGGAGUAACAUUUUGCCCGUCUGCAACAUCACUCAACUGUUUUCACCAUAAAGAUUUUCAUACACUUAUGUGUUACACUUUACGGACACUUUCCCAAAAGGCAGCAGGUCUCAAGAGGCUAUAAAACUGAAAGCAUCUCUUAUGAUGUGAAAUUGAAAAUACAAAAUAAAUAGAAUAAUAAAAAUAAAACUUGUGCAUUAGGAGGAGUGUAACAGUUAUUUCUAUCUGGGCUGUCGGCCAAUCUAAAUGCCAACUGCUCCAGUAAUUGUUUUAUCCUGUUCUGCUUUUGCAUCUUAAGGAGCUGGAGUUAUGGCUUGUUUUUUCACAUCUGUUACCCCUUUUCCACCAAAUUAGCUCUGGUUCUUGAACUGGUCCUGAUCAGGACUCUCAGAGCCUUGGUGCUGUCUAGUGACCCAGCCUGCGCUUCCCCCAUUUUUGAAUGAAACCAUUGUAAUCAAGCGUCAUCAGCAGAGGGCGUUCCACAAUGCACAGUUGGAGUAAACAGUAGUAGCAAGAUGGCAGAUCUCACUGAUCACCUGUGAGCUUUCGUUCCGUUAUUACAGCCAUUUGUUUUUGUCCAAAAAUAAGCAUGGACCAACUAUUAAUGACAAGAAUACAUAGAAGACUAGAACGUUCAAGACUCCAUCUCGUCUUUCCAACCUGUAGAAUAUGACACGCCGAUUAAUAAACGAUUAGAAAACCAACUUUUCGGGUCCUGAGCCAAUUUAUUUUUGGUUAAAAAGCUCAGAACGCUUCACUAAUAGGCGCACAAACUAGAACGGCACCCAUUCCAUGUUGGUGAUGCUGUCGAAUUAGCGCUACAUGUAGCAUGUUGGACGUGUGGAGCAACUGCAACACAUCAUCCUUGUCUUAUACACAACUCCCUCUCCGUUGCUGUUGUAGCUGCACGGGAACCCACAAGCCGGUCUUCAAGCUCCAACGUUUUAUUUGCGCUCGCCAAAGUGUGACUGAUUCACACUCCAGUCCUCUUGUUUCGCUAAUCUCAGCACAAGUUGCCACCUGCGUACAGCUUAAAGUUAUAGGAUGAAACUCCUGCUCAUGAAGUGUGUUUCAGCUUUAUGUGCAUUAAUUGACAUUGUGUUAUCCGUGUGCGUCUGUAGGAACUGAACCAUGACUUCUGUACCGUGAUGGUUUGGCACGAAUACACAAACCAUUACAGCCAUUACUAUGUGCAGUGCAUUCGUUAUCUUAGAAUAUAUCUUAGAAUUUAACACAGAGAGUAGGGUAAAACUUUCUCCGUGUAUCCCACAUAAUUGGUGGCAGAUUCAAACAAAUUUCAAAUCCUUUUUUUAGGUGUCGGGGCUGCAUUAGACUGCUUUGUGUUAAUUACAUCCAGGCCACAAAAGGCAAUUUAUUUCCUCACAACAAAGUGAAAUAACUUCCUGUUUGUGUGCACUUGUUCUGUCAAAGUGUGGACAAGUUGAGACUGAGACCAGAGCAGAUGAUGACCAUUGUGAAAUCUCCUAACUUGUCAGAUCAGGUCCCUCCUGCAUGAGGGAUUAUCUAAUUAUCUCUCUAAUUUUAUAAUGCUGGAACUCAAUUUUAUGUGCUCAGCAGGUCUUUAAAUAUAUUACUGAUGGUGCUGAGUCACUAUUGGCUACGUCACAGCAACAGAUAAGUUAGUUUCUCAUAGUAAUCCAGCGUAAUUUAAAUGACCAUAAAUUAAGAAGCUCUGUUUCCGUUUAAGCAAGUAUAUUAAAAAUGGAUUUAUCUCCCAAAGGUCUUUUAUUAAAUGCUGUUUUUUUUGUGUGAUGGAAACACAGAAAAUAUGAAGUGGCACGAGAUGACAGAGAAAGUUUCGCUCUGGAGCCCCGAGUGUGACAGCAUCUUGGCAAAAAUGAUGAGAUUGGAAACAGAUUUAGUUCCUGUGAAGGUCGUGAGUGAUGCUUUAAAGUUUGGAAAAAGUGAUUUGUUUACAAGUUUGGAGACAUUUUGGAAUUUACAAAAAGCAGACCCGUAUCCUGCGUCGCGGUACUGUCGUGUUAUUGUGAAGACUGGCCUUCGGAUGUGGACGCCAGUAACCAGAGGCGGGCUGGUUUGGUUUGUUGUCCUGAAGUUUGUCUGUCAGAUUCGGUGGAUUAGACAACACCUGUGAUAACUGGUGGUCACAUGAAGUGUGUUUCGGUCUGCAGAUAUUCCCAUAUUACUUUUGAAAUGAAGUGUGACGUUUGGACUGUAGGGGGCAGCAGAAUGCCUUGAGUGUCAGAGAUGUCAUCAUCAUAGUUAAAAAGGGAACGCGUUGUUUAAUUUGAAAGAUAAUCCAUAUCAAUCCCCCUGCGUUUUUUAUAUCUACCAUUUCCUGUGUUUUUUCUAAAUCUGCAUAUCUGCCAGGAUUGGUGAACCAAACUUAUCGGUACAUUGGAUUGCUAUGAAACUCCCAACGCGAACAUAUCGUAUCAGAAAUGUUAUUUAAGCAUGAUAAUCUUGACUUGGCAUAUUAUAGAUUUGUGUAGUUGUAAAUUAGACACUGACAAAUUAAUUUUUUCUUCAUAUUUGGCCUGUUUUGGUGUUUUUUCCUUUUUAAAUGAGAAGAAACCAGAAGCACCUUAUUACCAGCGCCGCAUCAGAAAUGCUGUGGUGAACUGUUUCUUGUCACUGUCACAGGUUUAUAUUGAUGUUUGGACUGCUCCACACACACACACACACACACAGUGCAUACCCUCAAGGUGAAGGGUCUGUCAUUAACCCGUCUCUUAAGGGAAACACAGAAACGGUGCUGCACGAAAACGUUAAAACACCCCAGAAAAAUAACCAAAAACAGCCCGAGAGGCGUCGUCUAACCCGUCUUUGGACUGAACCAGUUUUGUAGACCAGUGUUAUAAAAAUAAUGUCUGCUUUUUACAGCCUGGCUUUUGAGGAAAGAUGUUUACAUGACUAUUUGUUCUUUUUUAUAUAUUUACAUGUAUAUCAAGUUUUUUAUUAUUUCUUUAAAAAAGAAAAGAAAAAAAAAGGCUAUCAGUCAAAGAAGCCUCGGUCCUGAGACGAGCACCUAAAGGUCCUGCAGUGAGGAGGUGGAAGGUAACCCCACCUUGCCCCACCCUCUAUUCUGGAGCACAUGGUACGAUCUGUGGAGACUUAACCAAGUUCAAUACCUGAGGACAAAGGCAAGAAGAAGAAUGAGAGAGAGAAAGAAGGAAAGAAGGAGAGAAAUUUGGGGAGGGGUAGGGAGGAGGAGGGGAGACAGUUUGCACAUUUCUGUUGUGUUUUCCUUUUUUUUUUUUAAAAAUCCUUUUAUUCCGAUGCUUUGUUUAAAACCGCCGCCUUAAAUGAGAAAAAAAUGAGAGAUUGAGACAGAGAGGGAAGAAGAGGACAGAGUGAGCCUCCCUGGAGAGGAGGGACGAA